Rosa chinensis is the source of this 993-nucleotide long non-coding RNA. RefSeq lists it as uncharacterized. The record is from RefSeq and is a predicted model, not a curated record. The transcript has 8 exons. Lineage: Eukaryota; Viridiplantae; Streptophyta; Magnoliopsida; Rosales; Rosaceae.
UUAAUAUGGUUUCGAUUUUUUUGGGUGAUUUGUUUGUUUUGGGGUGCUGAUGAUUAUUUUGUUUUGAUUUUGUAGGUUCUAUGCAAAGGAGAGUCUCAAUUGUUUUUCUGCCAUGGUUCCUGUAUCUAUUAUUUGCUAUUGGUUUCGUGUUCUAUUGUUAUUCAGAUUGGAGAAGCUUUUCUGGAUCCUAAAUCACUAUCAUCAUUCUGAACUGGAAAUGAUAUACUAUAUUGGAUGAGUAUUUCAAAGCUUAUUAUGCUGCUUUAAGAAAAAUACGAGAAGAAGAAGCAGCAAAGAGUCGUCAGGUUGGCAUGAAGUCAAAACUUUGAAGAUGAAAAGCAAGAUAAGGUUGACUGUGAAGAGGCUCCAGUUGCAGUAUUUUUCCCUACUCAUUUGACAAGGUCUCCUUUGUAAUACACACCCCAGAAACAUUGGUAUCUUGCUGGUCAUUAGAUGAUUUGAAUUGAGGGAAUAUUGUUGGGCUGGAAAUGGAGAUGCAUGAGAGCUUUCCAACUAUUGACAAAAGGACAUGCAAUUCUCAAAAAGAGGCUCAAGGCUUAUUUUCAGAAUAAGGACAAGUAUGAUGUUAGAGAUUCGUAUGAGCAGAAAGCUAAGGAGAGUUCAAAGUCGAUUAGUAACUAGAGGCCGAGCUUGAACUUGAACUUCAGAGGAAGAGAUUGUCUAUUGCAGCACUUCAAUCCGCAAAUUUCCAACACAUAAUGGUUGGUGGUAUAAAGGAUGGGCAAGCUGUUUCCGACAACUAAAAGUAAAGGAAAAUAGCGGUGAACUCAUUUGUGUACACCAUGGCAUACGGACACCUCAUCCCUGUUACAGAGUCCACAUGACCAUUGAGGAUGCUGAUAAUCAAGCAACAGUUAUGCUGAUCGGAAAACAAGCAGAACAAUUCUUUGGAAGCAGGGCAGCUGCAGCUGCAACUACAGCAACUAUUCUUUUUGUACAAGUGCAAUCAACCAAUUCGUUGGAGAGUAUGUU